ACCGGAAAGUUUCACGUCUUUCUGUAAGCAGAGUUGCGGUCUAUGAAGAGAUGAAUUCAUUCGUUGGUGGGCUCACGGUCUGCUUUGUGCUUUGUCGAAAACAGUGUCUUAGAGAGUCCGGUGUCAACAUUCGAGUUCGAGCGUAGGCUUGAAUUGGGAGGUUGUUCAAUACUGGGGAAACGCCCGAGGGUAGCAAUACAGCAGGGAAAACCUAGAGCACUGGUUCGGCUGUGAGAUAGCACGUUGGAGAAGCAUUUAAGUAUACUACCACUACGGAUGGGAACUCCCUCUUUUU
This is a non-coding RNA of Mucor circinelloides, 295 nucleotides long. It matches the Rfam family "Metazoan signal recognition particle RNA". Rfam says of the family: The signal recognition particle (SRP) is a universally conserved ribonucleoprotein. It is involved in the co-translational targeting of proteins to membranes. The record is from Rfam. NCBI's taxonomy places the organism in Eukaryota, Fungi, Mucoromycota, Mucoromycetes, Mucorales, Mucoraceae.